RNAcentral lists this transfer RNA (66 nucleotides) under Boiga kraepelini. RNAcentral's name for it is "tRNA-Thr". It matches the Rfam family "tRNA". From Rfam's summary of the family: Transfer RNA (tRNA) molecules are approximately 80 nucleotides in length. Their secondary structure includes four short double-helical elements and three loops (D, anti-codon, and T loops). Lineage: Eukaryota; Metazoa; Chordata; Lepidosauria; Squamata; Colubridae. The record is from RNAcentral.
GUUCUAGUAGCUUAACCAUAAAGCAUUGUUUUUGUAAACCAAAGCUGGGCCACAACCCCUAAAACA